UCUGCAAAAUUGAUGUUAGAUACUUCAGAUGAAAUUCUGCUGAGCUUUAAGGGAAUGUGCAUGAGCUCUCCCAAACGUGACCGUUGCUGUUCCGUCACCCACCACACCAGCUGGGUUAUUUCGCUGGGCAUGGAGGAAGAGCUGCUAUUCCCAGUAACCUGGACAAGUUUUUUACCUGUCACACAGUGCUCCUUUCGUAGAAGCUGUCCAAACCCAGGACUAAGGUUUCUACUGAGAAGUUCCAGGUUUUGGCAUGCCUUGUCCGCACUCACCGAUCCCACCAGCAGCUGUAGCACCAUCUCACCAAUUCCAGCUCCAGUCACUAACACGGUUGUGGCACAGCCUGCAAAGAAAUAGUGCAAGUGAUGUGGCAUGGAACAGGUGAACCAGCCAGCAGGAUCAGCCUGGAGCUCUUUUAUGGAUCUCUCCAUACAAGAUUUACAAAUACUUAAUGUAUGUUCCCAUCUAGUGUUGAGAACAUCUCUUCUAACCUGCGAUAGUGCAGAAAGGUUUAAGUUUAAGUCAAAAAGCCAUCUCCUGUCACUUUUCUCUGUUGGCAGAGGUGACGUUGCUUCUUGCUGGAAAGAUUUUCAUUCUUCAGUAUCACUGCCCCAGAGACGGAGGUUAGCAGAGACUUCCUCCAAGAGCUGGCCAAACGCUGGGCUUUUCAGUUCCCUGAUAAUCUGGAUGAUGUUUUCAAAACCGGCUCUCUGUGAGCCUCUAAAGCAGACGUUUCUGUCAGUCCCUGAGAACCCUAAAGGUGCAGGAAGCUAAGAACCAGUCUGGAUCCCUGCCUGGAGAAAUUUUUAGUACACCAAAGCUGGGAUUUGUGCUGGUUUUCUGACCAUAAGCUUGAAUAAACAUGGUAUUCAAAGGAUGUCCUCGGUGUAGGCCAGCAUGCUGGGGAACGUGCUGCUGAGGAACAGCCCCAGAGACGCUGUCCCCACAAACAAGAAGACGACGCUGUAGGAGAAAAUCAGGAGCAGGAGGAAAGUUAUCAGGACUCCAACCUGUGAACGACACACACAGAGUCAGUAGAAGGGUAUAACGCCAAGCUGCGACAGGCUCUAGAUUGUAUUUUAUCCUUUUUUUGCAGUAAAUGGUCUGGAAAAGAAAAUAAGUUAUACUGGAAGAAAGACCACAAUCUCUGAAAAGCUGAAGCAGCUAGCCAAAUAAAAUCCGUCUGCCUUGACAGUGAAGAAUUUGGUACUUUUUAGAACAGGACUCGGUAACAUAACUUGGUACUUAAGUCUCACGGUCAUUAGGUAGAGACUUAAGAUUAUAUCUGAAAAAAGUACUUUCUUCCUCUGCAGCUUUCAUGCAAGAGUACUGCUACUUCCACAACAUGUUCAUGUCCCAGUCGCUGCUCAGCCUUAUCCAGCAGGCUCUGCCGUGCUGCAGUGAGCAAGCGACAGCAAAUCCCCCCGGUGCCCCAGGCUCGCCAGGGCACCACGGCAGCGGAGGCAGCUCUGCAAUACCGACCCCAGGUAUUUUGUCUUAGUUGUUCAGGCCCUGAUUGUGAGCAUGUGCAUGUACGCAAGAGCCAUUUGGAUUCUAAAGCAGCUGAAUUCAAACGGCAGCUUGCUGCAACGACGCCAGGAGCCGGUGUAUCUUGCCGUAAGUAGCAGCACCAACUAGCAAGCGUUUCAGAGAGCGUUCUGUGUCGGUCAAGUGAAUUUUUAUUCUCAUGGUGCUACCCCCUUUGCAUUUAAGGGGAAGCGAGAAGGUUUCCAUGCAAGGCUGGAGGCUGUUCCUGCUUCUCUCCAAAUAUUAGCAGCAGCUAAAGCAAAACUCCUGUCCUCGGGUUUGUUAAUGGUGCAGUUAGGACCAGGGAUGAAGUCAGCAGCGUGCAUCAAGGAGAUGCAUGGGCCUGUCCGUACGAUCGAUCUGCUGACGCUGAGCUUUCCUUGCUCCCCUGUCAGCAGUCGCUCUGUGCCGAAGGAAGAGAUUGCACUCAUUUUAAAAAAACAGUCGUGUUUUGUUCAGCUGUAUCUUUUGGCAUUCAAAGCUGGGUUCGUAAAGUGACCAGCAAGAAGGUUUGGAGCCGUCUGCCUCACCUGCUCUGGCCCGCAAUGGACACGGGCUGAAAUCCUCAAACCCAUCUCAGUGGGAACCAUCACUCCUGUUCUUUCACCACCCUGCUACCUAUUCUUGGCCUCGCAAUAUUAACUGUGAAACUUGGUACCAAAAUAACUUCUGGUUUAAAUAAAUGGUAAAUCAACUGC
Molecule: long non-coding RNA, 2225 nt
Organism: Falco peregrinus (peregrine falcon)
Lineage: Eukaryota; Metazoa; Chordata; Aves; Falconiformes; Falconidae
Exons: 3
Source: RefSeq, a predicted model, not a curated record